Molecule: ribosomal RNA, 462 nt
Filed under: uncultured bacterium
Lineage: Bacteria
Description: bacterial SSU rRNA
Rfam family: Bacterial small subunit ribosomal RNA
Source: RNAcentral
CCCUACGGGGGGCAGCAGUGGGGAAUAUUGGACAAUGGGCGCAAGCCUGAUCCAGCCAUGCCGCGUGUGUGAAGAAGGCCUUCGGGUUGUAAAGCACUUUUGUCCGGAAAGAAAUCCCAAAGGUUAAUACCUUUUGGGGAUGACGGUACCGGAAGAAUAAGCACCGGCUAACUUCGUGCCAGCAGCCGCGGUAAUACGAAGGGUGCAAGCGUUACUCGGAAUUACUGGGCGUAAAGCGUGCGUAGGCGGUUUGUUAAGUCUGAUGUGAAAUCCCCGGGCUCAACCUGGGACCUGCAUUGGAUACUGGCGAGCUAGAGUACGGUAGAGGGUGGUGGAAUUCCCGGUGUAGCAGUGAAAUGCGUAGAGAUCGGGAGGAACACUCGUGGCGAAGGCGGCCACCUGGACCAGUACUGACGCUGAGGCACGAAAGCGUGGGGAGCAAACAGGAUUAGAUACCCCGGU